UAAGACAAUAUCAAUAAUGAUAAAUGGUUAAAUCCAAAAAUGGAAUGUUUUUAUUGUUGUGCAUCAUUUUCAUGUCACCACAAAACAUCCAAGAAUGAGCAAUAUUACUCAUAUCUGGUAGUGAAUUUAAAUUGACCCCUUGCAUCGGUUGCAUUUGAUCAUGGUCCAGUUGGAAUUUUCCUCGAGUUCAGUAUUUUUGUGAUUUUACAUUUUUAGCUCUUCGUUCCAAAAACCGGAGAGCUUUAGCCUUCACUUGGCGUCCGUGAUCGAACGUCGUCAUCCAUCGUCUGCUCUAAAACGACCGAACCAAUUCCAACCAUACUUAAGCUGAACGAUCCUUAUAAUAUACAGAAUAAAGUUUGUGUUUUAUUUUUUGUUUCGUCAAAAACAUAGCCGGCAUGGCUAAGAAAAGAACAUAGG
Molecule: long non-coding RNA, 420 nt
Filed under: Mytilus galloprovincialis (Mediterranean mussel)
Lineage: Eukaryota; Metazoa; Mollusca; Bivalvia; Mytilida; Mytilidae
Source: RNAcentral